UAAAAUUGAGAAUGGAAAUGGGGAAUGUGUCAAAGAGACAACAACCCGACCAUAGAGCAGACAACAGCCGAAGGCUACCAAUGGGUCUUCAACGCAGCGAGAAACUCCCGCACCCGGAGUCUUUACCUCAAGAAAUUCAGUUAAAUUCACACUUAAAGCAUGAAAAAUGUAUAUUUGACUAUGUCUUGGAGGUAUAGAAACUGUAUAUUUGACUAUGUCUUGGAGGUAUAGAAACUGUAUAUUUGACUAUGUCUUGGAGGUAUAGAAACUGUAUAUUUGACUAUGUCUGGGCGGUAUAGAAACUGUAUAUUUGACUAUGUCUGGGAGGUAUAGAAACUGUAUAUUUGACUAUGUCUUGGAGGUAUAGAAACUGUAUAUUUGACUAUGUCUUGGAGGUAUAGAAACUGUAUAUUUGACUAUGUCUGGGAGGUAUAGAAACUGUAUAUUUGACUAUGUCUUGGAGGUAUAGAAACUGUAUAUUUGACUAUGUCUUGGAGGUAUAGAAACUGUAUAUUUGACUAUGUCUGGGAGGUAUAGAAACUGUAUAUUUGACUAUGUCUGGGAGGUAUAGUAACUGUAAAACAUCAUCAACUGUUAUGUGUUUGAAAAAAUCAGAUACAGCAAAUG
This is a long non-coding RNA of Mytilus californianus (California mussel), 627 nucleotides long. RefSeq lists it as uncharacterized. The transcript has 3 exons. NCBI's taxonomy places the organism in Eukaryota, Metazoa, Mollusca, Bivalvia, Mytilida, Mytilidae. The record is from RefSeq and is a predicted model, not a curated record.